This 491-nucleotide ribosomal RNA is filed under the name uncultured bacterium. RNAcentral's name for it is "partial 16S ribosomal RNA". It matches the Rfam family "Bacterial small subunit ribosomal RNA", at positions 29 to 507 of the family's 1533-position model. The record is from RNAcentral.
GUGAACGCUGGCGGUAGGCCUAACACAUGCAAGUCGAACGGCAGCACAGUAAGAGCUUGCUCUUACGGGUGGCGAGUGGCGGACGGGUGCGGAAUACAUCGGAAUCUACUUUUUCGUGGGGGAUAACGUAGGGAAACUUACGCUAAUACCGCAUACGACCUACGGGUGAAAGCAGGGGAUCUUCGGACCUUGCGCGAUUGAAUGAGCCGAUGUCGGAUUAGCUAGUUGUCGGGGUAAAGGCCCACCAAGGCGACGAUCCGUAGCUGGUCUGAGAGGAUGAUCAGCCACACUGGAACUGAGACACGGUCCAGACUCCUACGGGAGGCAGCAGUGGGGAAUAUUGGACAAUGGGCGCAAGCCUGAUCCAGCCAUACCGCGUGGGUGAAGAAGGCCUUCGGGUUGUAAAGCCCUUUUGUUGGGAAAGAAAAGCAGCAGGUUAAUACCCCGCUGUUCUGACGGUACCCAAAGAAUAAGCACCGGCUAACUUCGUG